Molecule: non-coding RNA, 2118 nt
Organism: Aegilops tauschii subsp. strangulata
Lineage: Eukaryota; Viridiplantae; Streptophyta; Magnoliopsida; Poales; Poaceae
Source: RefSeq, a predicted model, not a curated record
ACACAAUCCACAUCGUGGGCUGCUGCUUCGACUCCACCACCACCAUUCCCCACAUGAGCUGUGACGAGGGCGAGAUGAGCCGCCGCCGCCCACUCUCGCCGGCGGUGGCGGCGGCGCCGCUGGAGGACGACAACCUGCUCUCUGAGAUCCUCCUCCGACUCCCUCCAGAUCCUUCAUCCCUCCCUCGCGCAUCCCUCGUCUCCAAGCGCUGGCUCGGCCUAAUCUCUGACCCCGGCUUCUCCGGCCGCUUCCGCCUCCACCACCGCAGCAACCCUCCCCUACUCGGUUUCUUCGACGACCUCCGCUUCAUACCUACAAUGGCUCCCCCCAAUCGUGUCCCGUGUGGCCGCUUUCCCUCGUGCAUCGACGACGACGACGGCCUCGGCCACUUCAUACCCUUGGGAUGCCGCCAUGGCCUCGUACUCAUCUUCCACCUUUCGCGGAAGCUGCUCCUGGUGUGGGACCCACGUCGACCAGCACCGCCUUGCCGUUCCCCCUGAGUUCGAUAUGGAGAAGGCCCGGUUCAGCGGGGCUGUGUUUCGCGCCGCCGGAGACAUCCGACGCUUUCAGGUGGUCUUGGUAACCAGAGACAGAUGAGCAACAACAUCCACGGGUCAUCGCCCGCGUUUACUCGUCGGAGACUGGAGGAUGGGGCGAUCGCAUCUCAACACCACUACCAUCCAAACUUCCCACCAAGAGACGUAUGGUCUUUACCAUGGAUGUGCUAGUUGGGCAUUCCCUUUACUGGUUGUUCAAUGACAGAUCGGCAAAAACUCCAAUAUUGGAUGGCAUACUUGAGUUUGAUUUGGAGAGGCAGAUCCUAGCUGUGAAACCGGUGCCAGUGUGUAUUCCCAAGGAAAACAUAUGGCAAUUCCAGGUUAUGCAGGCAGAGGGUGGUGGCCUUGGCAUUCUCUUUCUGUCAAAUUUCAGCGCCCAAUUAUGGGAGAUGGAGACCGAUUGUGAUGGCGCUGCUUCAUGGGUCCUAGGAAGAACUGUUGAACUGGAUAAGCUACUUCCCAUUGAUUCAGGGAAGAAGAAGAGAUGGCAUCGAUGGCACCGAAGUAUACAGGGGUUUGCUGAAUACAAUAACGUGGUGUUCCUACGGACACACACCGACCUCUUCAUGAUCCAGCUUGAGUCACUGCAAUUCAAGAAAGUUUCCAAAACCAACAUCUCGGGGUGGUAUCUUCCAUUCGAAAGUGUCUUUGUUGCAGGCAAGGGUAUUGGUGGUGGACAUGAUGGAGCUGAACGUUUACGUAAUACAUAAGAUGAUUGGUCACAUGGAUACGCUACUGUGACGUAUUAACUGAGUAUUAGCAGGAGGUCCAGAGAUGGGCUUGGGUUGGGCGUAGGUUCUUCUGUUCCGUAUGGCUGAGAACGAGAUGCAAAAUGGCCUGUUGGGGUGUUCCUGUGGUGUGCUCCCUCUUCGUACUACCACAACGGAGAACUGUGCGGUGGACUUUUAGGAAUUUGACUGCGUAUUUUGCUAAUCCGCAUCAAUUAUGUAAUGUUGAACUUUUAUCUGGUCCUUCCUAUUGAAUGUUGAAUGUUGAGCUGCAACUGUCUGCCUGCCUGGUACUCUACCUUCUUUCUCUUUUACCUUAGGAUGCGGUGACUGAAAGAUGCCUGAUUUUUGGUACUGCUUCCCUUUUCUUUUUGUUUGGGAUGCGGUGACUGAAGAAGCGUCUUUGCUCCAGUUCAUGUUGCCGCAACACGAGUUGCCUCUGCUGUGGGGUUUGUACACCGUGAAUCCGUGAUCGAUGAUGUCCUGCUUGCGCCCAUAGAAGAGCUCGACGGGGUGCCUGUCUGUCUAUAGUUGUUGUACCGUUAGAGAAUCUGUUUUCUGUGUUGCAAGUUGUUAUACCGGCAGGCCUGCCAAAAGAGCCGUAGUGAAGUUCUCCUGAAGCUGUGUGUGCCGGCAGGCCUGCCUAAAGAGCCGGUGGUGAAGAAGUCCCGGUCAAAGUGUAGGUCUGCCCGUGAAACCUGAUAAAAAAAUUCGUUACAGGAAAAAAAAAAUCUCUCCUCUCUUUGCUUAGUUCUUGUGCGCCUCUGACGACAUGGCACAAGACGUUUCGUUCAUAAUAGGAAGGUUUCAUUCAUGGUACCUCAGAAAAAGAA